UGGGGAAUUUUGGACAAUGGGGGCAACCCUGAUCCAGCAAUGCCGCGUGUGUGAAGAAGGCCUUCGGGUUGUAAAGCACUUUUGUCCGGGAAGAAAUCGCACCUGAUAAUACCGGGUGUGGAUGACGGUACCGGAAGAAUAAGGACCGGCUAACUACGUGCCAGCAGCCGCGGUAAUACGUAGGGUCCAAGCGUUAAUCGGAAUUACUGGGCGUAAAGCGUGCGUAGGCGGUUGUGCAAGACCGAUGUGAAAUCCCCGGGCUUAACCUGGGAAUUGCAUUGGUGACUGCACGGCUAGAGUGUGUCAGAGGGGGGUAGAAUUCCACGUGUAGCAGUGAAAUGCGUAGAGAUGUGGAGGAAUACCGAUGGCGAAGGCAGCCCCCUGGGAUAACACUGACGCUCAUGCACGAAAGCGUGGGGAGCAAACAGG
RNAcentral lists this ribosomal RNA (429 nucleotides) under Bacillota bacterium. RNAcentral's name for it is "Firmicutes bacterium partial 16S ribosomal RNA". It matches the Rfam family "Bacterial small subunit ribosomal RNA", at positions 355 to 776 of the family's 1533-position model. Lineage: Bacteria; Bacillati; Bacillota. The record is from RNAcentral.